RNAcentral lists this long non-coding RNA (993 nucleotides) under Homo sapiens (human). RNAcentral's name for it is "HSALNT0150961". Lineage: Eukaryota; Metazoa; Chordata; Mammalia; Primates; Hominidae. The record is from RNAcentral.
GUUUGGUGGUGUGCCUGUAGUCCCAGCUACUCGGGAGGCUGAGGCAGGAGAAUCACUUGAACCUGGGAGGCAGAGGUUGCAGUGACCCGAGAUCACACCACUGCACUCCAGCCUAGGCGACAGAGCAAGACUCCAUCUCAAAAAAAAAAAAAGAAAAAUAAUAAAACCAGCUGAAAUUCCAGAAUAAAUGGUAACUACCAUCAGGAAAAAGAAGAACUGAUUGAAGAGUGGCAACCAGAACCUCUUGUUCCUCCUGUCCCAAAAGACCAUCCUGCUCUCAACUACAACAUCGUUUCAGGAAACAUCUGCGUGAGAAGGGCCCCUCUCAUAAAAUGAAAACAAAGGACAGAAAGCAUUGCUGAGGGCUUAAGGUGUGGAUGAAAUGACACAUUGAAGCUGAAGAAUCCCCAUGUUGACAGCAUUCAAUCCAAGAAAAGCUCCACUGUACACAUGUUCUAACAUAUGAGUGAUCCAAAAGAGAGAGCUUCACAUACAAUAUCCUAUGCCUACUUUCUCAGCUCAGAGAGAGAGGCUCAGUCAUUCAUAAACUGGAGCAACAUUCAUGUACUGCGGACCACUUUGAAAGACUUAUCUGUCUCCUGUUUACAGAUGUGUACAGCAAGCUGCAAAGCACUGCCUGUCCUUUUACUCACAAUCAAUUGCAGAGAACAUGAAGUACAGAAGACAACAGCUUUUUUUUUCUUUUGGAAAAUCCCUUAAGUCCUUUCCGUGCUGUGCUAUCAUUGUUCAGGUGCUAAAGUGAAAUAAAUGUGUCGUCUAAUCACUAAGGUGUCAUGAACUCAAAAAUUUAACUGGCAGUGAAGAGUCAGGGAACAUUGUAAUUUUGCCUUGUCACAGGAAUACUAGUUCAAAAGUGGGAGGAAUGUAUUUGCCAAUAUGGUCUACAUCUUCAAAUGCACAUUGUUUACUCAAACUUCAUAGGCACAUGUUCAAUGAAGGGCAUAAAAAAGACAUUUACAAAGCUCAUUGAAA